UGGGGAAUAUUGGACAAUGGGGGGAACCCUGAUCCAGCCAUGCCGCGUGUGUGAAGAAGGCCUUAUGGUUGUAAAGCACUUUAAGCGAGGAGGAGGCUACUAGUAUUAAUACUACUGGAUAGUGGACGUUACUCGCAGAAUAAGCACCGGCUAACUCUGUGCCAGCAGCCGCGGUAAUACAGAGGGUGCGAGCGUUAAUCGGAUUUACUGGGCGUAAAGCGUGCGUAGGCGGCCAUUUAAGUCAAAUGUGAAAUCCCCGAGCUUAACUUGGGAAUUGCAUUCGAUACUGGAUGGCUAGAGUAUGGGAGAGGAUGGUAGAAUUCCAGGUGUAGCGGUGAAAUGCGUAGAGAUCUGGAGGAAUACCGAUGGCGAAGGCAGCCAUCUGGCCUAAUACUGACGCUGAGGUACGAAAGCAUGGGGAGCAAACAGGAUUAGGAUACCCUGGUAGUCCAUGCCGUAAACGAUGUCUACUAGCCGUUGGGGCCUUUGAGGCUUAGUGGCGCAGCUAACGCGAUAAGUAGACCGCCUGGGGAGUACGGUCGCAAG
This 546-nucleotide ribosomal RNA is filed under the name uncultured bacterium. RNAcentral's name for it is "partial 16S ribosomal RNA". It matches the Rfam family "Bacterial small subunit ribosomal RNA", at positions 355 to 892 of the family's 1533-position model. The record is from RNAcentral.